UAGAGGUCCUGCGCCGAAAAUGUCCGGGGCUAAAACACACUGCCGAAGCUUUGGAAUUGAGAAUUCAAUUGGUAGAGGAGCAUUCUUAAAGGGACGAAGCAGUACCGGAAGGAGCUGUGGACUUUUAAGAAGGGAGAAUGCCGGAAUGAGUAGCGAGAGGAAGGUGGGAAUCCUUCCGGCCGAAUAUCUAAGGUUUCCAGAGUAAAGCUGAUCUGCUCUGGGUAAGUCGGGGCCUAAGGCGAGGUCGAAAGACGUAGUCGAUGGAUAACAGGUUGAAAUUCCUGUACUAUCCUGUAACAGAACUGUGGGGACACAGGCAGAGAGCGUGAGCCGGGAAUGGAAAGACCGGUACAAGCGAGGUAGGAGAAGGGUUGGCAAAUCCGCUCUUUAAUCUGAAGACGUGAUGUGGACUGAAAAUAAGUAGGGAAGCACGUGAGCUGACUGUCAAGAAAAGCCGCUAUUGUUUGCAGGACACCCGUACCGUAAACCGACACAGGUGGAUGAGGAGAGAAUCCUAAGGCCGACGGGAGAAGCAUUGUUAAGGAACUCGGCAAAAUGACUCCGUAACUUCGGGAGAAGGAGUGCCAGUAAGAUGGCCGCAGAGAAUUGGCCCAAGCAACUGUUUAGCAAAAACACAGGUCUAUGCAAAACCGAAAGGUGAGGUAUAUGGGCUGACGCCUGCCCGGUGCUGGAAGGUUAAGGGGAGAGGUUAGCGCAAGCGAAGCUUUGAACUUAAGCCCCAGUAAACGGCGGCCGUAACAAUAACGGUCCUAAGGUAGCGAAAUUCCUUGUCGGGUAAGUUCCGACCCGCACGAAAGGCGUAAUGAUUUGGGCACUGUCUCAACAAUGCACCCGGUGGAAUUGAAAUACCAGUGAAGAUGCUGGUUACCUGCGCCAGGACGGAAAGACCCCAUGGAGCUUUACUCCAGCUUGAUACUGGGAUUCGGUAUUGCAUGUACAGGAUAGGUGGGAGGCUAGGAAAUGGUAACGCCAGUUGCCAUGGAGCCAAUGUUGGGAUACCACCCUUGCAGUACUGGGUUUCUAACCAGCAGCCGUGAUCCGGCUGGGGGACAAUGUCAGGUGGGGAGUUUGACUGGGGCGGUCGCCUCCGAAAGGGUAUCGGAGGCGCUCAAAGGUUCCCUCAGAAUGGUUGGAAACCAUUCGAAGAGUGCAAAGGCAGAAGGGAGCUUGACUGCGACACCGACGGGUGGAGCAGGUACGAAGUAGGACUUAGUGAUCCGGUGGUAUAAAGUGGGAUUGCCAUCGCUCAACGGAUAAAAGCUACCCUGGGAUAACAGGCUUAUCACUCACAAGAGUUCACAUCGACGGAGUGGUUCGGCACCUCGAUGUCGGCUCAUCGCAUCCUGGGGCUGAAGUAGGUCCCAAGGGUUGGGCUGUUCGCCCAUUAAAGCGGUACGCGAGCUGGGUUCAGAACGUCGUGAGACAGUUCGGUCCCUAUCCGGCGUGGGCGUAAGAUAUUUGAGAGGAGCUGUCCUUAGUACGAGAGGACCGGGAUGGACUGGCCACUGGUGUAUCUGUUGUCUUACCAAAGGCAUAGCAGAGUAGCCAAGCCGGGAAGGGAUAAACGCUGAAGGCAUCUAAGCGUGAAGCCCCCCUCAAGAUGAGAUAUCUCAUAACGUCAAGUUAGUAAGACCCCUUGAAGACGACGAGGUAGAUAGGGCAGAGGUGGAAGUGUGGUAACACAUGGAGCUGACUGUUACUAAUAGGUCGAGGGCAUAACCA
RNAcentral lists this ribosomal RNA (1743 nucleotides) under metagenome. RNAcentral's name for it is "bacterial LSU rRNA". It matches the Rfam family "Bacterial large subunit ribosomal RNA", at positions 1151 to 2925 of the family's 2925-position model. The record is from RNAcentral.